GGACAAUUUUAUAGCCUAUGAAAGAAGCGGUGAAAAACACUAACGUAACAUGAACACAGUUGUUUUAUGGAAACAAUGUAUAAACAGGACAAAAUAAUUACUGACCAAAAUUUCUCGAGUACAAUCUGAAAAUAAGAAUAACCAUUAAAACAGUGAAUAGAUCAGGUAUGUUUUCUUAACAGUGGCAAGUUUUUCAUGCAAAUAUAACGAAAUCAUAUGACUAAUCAAUGUCACAAGCUUUGGAAUAUAGAAUUAAUUAAUUUCAAACAUAAUCGUAUUCCUGUACUGACAGAACGUCGAUGUUCAACUUUCUUCUUGGAUAAUGAACUUCUUGGUUUCAGUAUUAUCUCAGAUCCACAAACGUUGUUUGAAGAUGUUUCCCAUUUCUUUUUUAAAUGUUCUAAGUAUGAUGUCAUGAUAUGUUAACUAUCUAAUAUAAUAAACCUGGUACUAGUGAAGUGUCAAAUAAAUUUUGAUUGCUGUCCCCUUUUUAUUGAUUUUUGUGCCUAUCUGGUCUGUUUGUUUUGUUCACGCAUUGUUGUCAAUUUAAUAGACUUGUAUGUGACUGUCAGACAAGUGGGAGGUUUUGAGCAACACAUAAGAAAAUGCAUUUACCAAUUGUUUCUGUUGAUGUGUUUGAUCUUUUGACUGCCAUUUGACAAAAGACUUUCCGUUUUGAAUUUUUCUCGAAGUAAGAUACAUUUUUUAUGUUUUUUGUUAUUUUACUUGUUACUUUUUGUUGGUUUAUUUUAUUUGUUUUUGUGUUUGUGUCACGUCAUUGAGUCGAAUCAUUGAUUUCCAAUACCAUAUAAAAGACGGAAAUACGUCUUUAUAAAAUAAUUGCUUCCAACGCGGUUGUUUACAAGGUUGUUAUUUUACUUUUGACGUCAGGUCAUACAUAUGUCCUUAACAUAUGAUUAAAAUAAAAUCAUUGUUUUUAAAUGUUUUUGAAUUUAUGAAAAGAAUACUGCUGCAAAAUCUUAGUUUUAUCAAUGGUGUUGUCAGUUAAUAUUCGACUUAUGAGUUUGAGAUUCCCUUUGGUAUUUUUCGCCACUCUAUUUAACGCGAUUUCUAAAGUGUAAAGUUGCAUGAUUAUAAUGUACAUAUUGUGUACUGUCGUGCACAUUUGAUGCGCUUUCACAUUAUCAUGCAUCAUCGUUUUUAUACAUCUGAAUGCAAUAUUUAUAUUGUAAUGUGUUUCUUUGUCAUUUCUAAACAUUAUAUCGAUUAGUUUAUUGUUGGUUGAUAAACGUCCAUUGACAAAUAUAUCAUGCAUGUUCAGGACAAAAACAAAAUAACAAUAAAUAAAAUAGGUAGCUCUUUUAGCUGUGACCGUCCGUGAUGAAGGUAGUGAAUAUUUGGACCGCCUCUGGAAAUAUGAUGAUAUAUUGAAUAAAAGUUUGGCCUUGCAACAUCAUACAUACGGACAAGUUGUAGAUCUGUUGCAAGGAUUCCUAACGUGCAGUAUGUUGGCUCACUCUACACGAAGUAUCUAAAUCGACGUACUGGGAUGAACUCAAGAUCUCUUGAAGGGUAAGCAGGUCCAGAUGUGGCAAAUGCGUGUUGUUCAUGCUAGUUCAAACUCGGUAAUCAGUUUUAUUCGGUAGGUCACAUUCGUGCUUGUUGUUACGACAUUAGGAAUAUAUCGCUAGUAUCUGUUAAACAGAUAUUCCAUAACGGCCAACUAACUCGUGAUGGCAUCUUUUACGGAGGAAUGAUAUCAACUUCACCGUUUUGAACUCUUGGUUCAAUAGCUUCCAUGUGUGCAGCAACCACUUAUCAAGGAAAUCAUAAAAGGGAGUAAUCGAAAAUCAAUUCGGAAAGUCCAUAAUCACAUGGCAAAAUCAAAUAGUCGUUAAUUGUGAGAUACAAACUCCGUAUACAUUAAUUAUGUUUCAUAAAUUCUUUUAAAAUGUUUUAGUUUAAGAUGACAUUGUGUUCUGUCCUUCGUUCGAAUUGUUCUUCUUUGACACAUUCCUCCUUUCCUGACUCAAUUUCAUAAGCCAGAUUUGGCACAACUUAUUUGAAACCUUUGACUUUCUACUUUCAGAUUUAUUUCACCUUUCAGUGUUAAGAUUCAAAUGCCACUUUAGAGCCAAGUGUCGUCCAAACCGUCAGCUGGUGUACUGCAUUGGAAUCAUGAUUUUGAUUUUAACAUAAUUUGGUGUACUUUGUUGUUGUUAACUAAAAACAAAAGUUUGUUUCUAUAUAAAACUUCGUGGACAAAUGUAACUAAUCUUUGCCUUUUUUUUAUUAUGUUGCAUGACAAUUGUUAAUAGUUCGUUAUUAUGACAAAAUAAAAAUAGUAGAUUGAUGUGGCAAUAAUUGGUAUCCAGCACUCAAACAUUUUUUUUGUGUUAAAAUACAAAACAGCAGAUUUAACAAUCGAACAAACACACACAUCGUUGUCAUUAUCAUGGAAUUUGAUGCGACGGUGAUACAAGGGAAAGGUUUAGUCAGCUAUAAAACCAGGUCAGUAAUAUGCCAGCUUAUCCAUUCGUUUGCUGUGUUUGAGCUUUUGAUUUGCCAUUUAAUUACUAGGUACUUUCCGUUUUGAAUUUCCCUAGCAGUUCAGUAUUUUUGUGAUUUUAUUUUGUGCAAAUUAAUCUAAGAAAGACAACAACACAUAAGUAUAGUGAAUGACAAUGACGUUACAAAACAGAUUUUGCCAUAGUAUACAUCUUCGGGAUAAAAUAAAAAAUUGAGAAAAUAUAAAUACAGAGGUAAACAAAAUAGAAUAAAAACUGUAAAUACCUUUUAUGUAAAAAUCGCAUCCCAGAACUGCACUAGAAAUAACCAAAGUUUAGAAGUCAAAAUCCAUAUGGUGGGAUUCACGAUAAAAGUCAUGUAACCAAAUUGAAACAUAAUAACACGAAGACAAAAUGGGAAAUGUUUAAAGUCACCGUGAAAAUAAAUAAACACAGGUUCAAUACCUUGAUUCUGUAACUAGAGACCAUCUUGUAGUUAUUCGUGAAGAAAACAAUGCAUAUUCAUCUAUUAUAUCUUAAUACUUUUAGAUGAACGUUUUAGAAAGGAGACACACUGACGUUCUUUGCUAAAUACUGGCUCGUUAAUAACUUUUUCAGAGACCGUUAUUGCAAAGUCUUAGUAGCACCUACACGCUCUUGAAUAUCACAUCGAGUUCAGAAUUUUUCAUUCUGAUUGCGGGUGAAGUUGGGUUUCUGAUAAAAAGGUGAGGAAAAUUAAUAAUUUCAAAAUUAAAAUAUUUUCAUUUGUCAUAGAUUUGGGUACUGCUAUGAUCGAUGUUAUCAAAUGAAAGAUAAAUGUCUAGAAAUAAAGCGAAGAAAGCUUUAUCUGUGAAAUCCUUAUUAUCUGUCCAAAACGACAAGGAUGUCAUGAACUUAAGGUCACUUUACGACUUUUAACCAUGAAAAAACCUUAUCUUGUGGUAAAAGGCAUUAAGAUAACAAAAUGAGAAACAAAUGAUUAUAAAAACUGCACAUACAAGUAUGAAAAUUGUGUAUGGUUACCAAUGAGACCACUAUUCAUUCUUUACUACAGUACAGACCAAAUGAAGUCGAGGUAAUCAAUUUUACAUGUAGGUCUAAGCAACCUGCUAAAUCCACCUCGCCCACUGAAAGACAAAUGUUAAACAAGUUAAAUAAGAAUCUAAUAACGGCCUUAUAUAUGAACAAAUUAAUACCCGAUAACAAAAAAAAACAAAAAAAAAAAAAAAAAAAAAAAACGGCACCACUGAAGUAAAUAGUUAUCAAAGGUACCAGGAUUAUAAUUUAGUACGCCAGACGCGCGUUUCGUCUACAUAAGGACUCAUCAUGACGCUUCAUAUCAAAAUAUUCAUAAAAGCCAAACAAGUACAAAGUUGAAGAGCAUUGAGAUCCAAAUUCCAAAAAGUUGUGCCAAAUACGGCUAAGGUAAUCUAUGCCUGGGAUAAGAAAAUCCUUAGUUUUUUCGAAAAUUCAAAGUUUUGUAACUGGAAAUUUAUUAAAAUGACACAUUAUUGAUAUUCAUGUCAACACCGAAGUGUUGACUACUGGCUGGUGAUACCCUCGGGGACGAAACGUCCACCAGCAGUGGCAUCGACCCAGUGGUGUAAAUAGUUAUCAAAGGUACCAGUAUUAUAAUUUAGUACGCCAGACGCGCGUUUCGUCUACAUAAGACUUAUCAGUGACGCUUAUAUCAAAAUAUUCAUAAAGCCAAACAAGUACAAAGUUGAAGAGCAUUGAGGAUCCAAAAUUCCAAAAAGUUGUGCCAAAUACGGCUAAGGUAAUCUAUGCCUGGGAUAAGAAAAUCCUUAGUUUUUCGAAAAUUCAAAGUUUUGUAACUGGAAAUUUAUUAAAAUGACCACAUUAUUGAUAUUCAUGUCAACACCGAAGUGUUGACUACUGCGCUGGUGAUACCCUCGGGGACGAAACGUCCACCAGCAGUGGCAUCGGACCCAGUGGUGUAAAAUAGUUAUCAAAGGUACCAGGAUUAUAAUUUAGUACACCAGACGCGCGUUUCGUCUACAUAAGACUCUCAGUGACGCUCAUAUCAAAAUAUUCAUAAAGCCAAACAAGUACAAAGUUGAAGAGCAUUGAGGAUCCAAAAUUCCAAAAAGUUGUGCCAAAUACGGCUAAGGUAAUCUAUGCUGGGAUAAGAAAAUCCUUAGUUUUCGAAAAUUCAAAGUUUUGUAACUGGAAAUUUAUUAAAUGACCACAUUAUUGAUAUUCAUGUCAACACCGAAGUGUUGACUACUGGGCUGGUGAUACCCUCGGGGACGAAACGUCCACCAGCAGUGGCAUCGACCCAGUGGUGUAAAUAAAGGCUCAUAAUUUGCGGCAGUAACAUUAAGCAUAACAUCAAAUGAACAAAGAACGGCACAGGGCAACCAAAUGCAAUCUCUGGACUAUAAAUGUUUGGCUUGAAACAGGCACAGCACAAAUGUGAUGGUCUUAACCAUUUUGCGAGAGUACAACCCUCUCUUUACUUACUACCUUGAUGUUUCAUCAGAAAAUUAAGAACAAACACUAUGAGUUACAAUUUUUGACAAAAAUCAGCAAAGACCAAUCGAAACAACAUCUGAUAAACAAAUUUAAUAAUACUUUUAGAUAUUUGGAUGACAUUUUGGCUCUCAAUAAUGACGACUUCAGUCUGUAUACUAAAGAAAUUUAUCCUGUUGAACUUACUUUAAAUAAAGCUAAUACUAACAAUGACCACUGCCCUUUCCUCGAUCUUGAUAUCUAUAUCACUAACGGAAAGCUUAAUACUAAAAUUUAUGAUAAAAGAGAUGAUUUUUCAUUUCCUAUCGUUAAUUAUCAAUUUUUAGAUUGUGACGUUCCCUUGUCACCAUCUUACGGUGUUUAUAUAUCUCAACUUGUACGAUUCGCUCGUGUAUGUAACAAUGUUUUAGAUUUUAACGAGAGAAAUUUAUGUAUUACUGAAAUAAUUAUUACACCAGGUUUUUUUCGAUAUCACAAACUAGUCAAAACAUUUACUAAAUUUUAACAUCGGUAUAAGGACAUCAUUCGUAAAUAUAGCUCAACAUGUAGACUUCUUAUACGUUUAGGUAUUUCACAUCCAUUUUUUUUAUGGAAAUAUUCUUUAUAAAGCACAAAAAUGUCAGUAUUCACCGCAGAAACUAACAAAACCUUUAAAUAGACUUAUUAAGAAGGGAUAUAGUUACGAUACUGUUGUCAGAUCAUUAAAGAUUGCAUAUUUUGGCGUUAAUAUUGAUUCACUUAUAGGGUCUUUGCAUCAGACCUAUACACAUUUAUUCAAAAACCAGUUGUUGGCAUGACACGGGUUAUAAUCUUCUCACAUAUGCUCUGAUGGUAUGAUACUAAACCCCUAACGGGAAGGAUUGUGCCUGAUAUUCAUAUGAUGAAAUCAUAAUCUUUCAAUCAGUUUAAUUGAAGUCUGGAGCUGGCAUGUCAGUUAACUGCUAGUAGUCUGUUGUUAUUUAUGUAUAAUUGUCAAAUUUUGUUUAUUUUCUUUGGUUACAUCUUCUGACAUCAGACUCGGACUUCUCUUGAAUUGAAUUUCAAAUGUACGUAUUGUUAUGCGAUUUACUUUUCUACAUUGGCCAAAAGUAUAGGGAGAGGGUUGAGAUCUCAUAAACAUGUUUAACCCUGUCGCAUUUUUGCGCCUGUCCCAAGUCAGGAGCCUCUGGUCUUUGUUAGUCAUGUAUUAUUUUAAUUUUAGUUUCUUGUGUACAAUUUGGAAAUUAGUAUGGCGUUCAUUAUCACUGAACUAGUAUAUAUUUGUUUAGGGGCCAGCUGAAGGACGCCUCCGGGUGCGGGAAUUUCUCGUUACAUUGAAGACCUGUUGGUGACCUUCUGCUGUUGUUUUUUCUAUGGUCGGGUUGUUGUCUCUUUGAUACAUUCCCCAUUUCCAUUCUCCAUUUUACUUUGACUAUUUAGCUUUCUCCAUUACUCAUAGUAAUGAUGUUUUGUUGAAAGCCUGCAAAAUAAUCUUUUACUACAAAUAUCACAUACAUUUAAAAUGAUCAAUCUUUCGAGUAAAUAGGGUCAAUAUGCACCUUGCAAAGCAAGCAUGUUCUUACUUAAUACACCAACUUCAUUGGCCCUUUUUAUUACCAAAUCUAAAUAAAAAUAGACAUGAAAAAAGACAUGCUUAAGGUCAGCUGAAACCUAUGAGCUGGACAUGUACAUCUUACAAUCCUUCCACAAAUCAUAAAUAUACAGUUAAGUACUAUAGUAUUUCUUAUAGGACCCGAGUACUUGACCACGUAAAUUUACUCCUGAUUCCAUAUACAUGAAAUAAGGUCAAUGUAAGGGAAACAAUGUCCAAAAAAUGUGCAAGGAUUUCAUAUACCAAGUUUAGUUAUCCUAUUACUCAUAAUACAUGUAAUAGAUGAAUACUUAAAAUGACAAAAUAAUACAUUUAUUUUCAUAGUAGUUGCUGAACCAUGAAAAUGAGACAAAGGAAAAUAGAAAACGACAAACAAAAGAA
Molecule: long non-coding RNA, 6933 nt
Filed under: Mytilus galloprovincialis (Mediterranean mussel)
Lineage: Eukaryota; Metazoa; Mollusca; Bivalvia; Mytilida; Mytilidae
Source: RNAcentral